Long non-coding RNA from Cyprinus carpio carpio, 597 nucleotides. Lineage: Eukaryota; Metazoa; Chordata; Actinopteri; Cypriniformes; Cyprinidae. The record is from Ensembl.
UGUUAAAAACAGUUCAACUUCCAAAGGCUGUCCAGUCAGGUGUGACACCCACCCAGCAUGCAGACCCGAAAAACUGACACAUCUCUUUAAAGGUCACAGUUCUGUCAAAAUACACACACCAUAUGGAACACUCUUCUGGGCACACAUCAUAUUUUAGCACUUGCAGCCUGCCAGCGACACUGAUAGAGAAGUGCUAUUCCUGAGGGUGCCACACAGAUGGGUUGAUCAAUUUUACACGGUUUCUGCUACGUCGUCUACACAUUUAUGGAAAGCAGCGAGUGACCGACAGCCCACACACUUUGGAGCACGUCAGGACACCCACUUUCACCUUGAUUGGCACCGAAGAGCACGGAGAGCACACGGGAAGCACCAACCAGCAGAAAGCGGAUCAGGACACUUCACCAGGCACCCUUCACUUAUCAAUAAACCCACCCUCCGGGGCAUUUAAUUCACGCACCUCUUGUCGAGUGUUUCUUCACCCCGUGACAGUGGUGGAGAAUGCGGGCAUUACAGUGAGGAAUCACCGACAAGAUCACCGCCCCAACGCCUAAUUUUUUUUCCUUUUUUUCCCUGUUUCUGUCACCAGCACCACGGAAG